UACGGAGGAUCCGAGCGUUAUCCGGAUUUAUUGGGUUUAAAGGGUGCGCAGGCGGGGGAUUAAGUCGGCGGUGAAAUUUUGCAGCUCAACUGUAAAAGUGCCCUCGAAACUGGUUUCCUUGAGUGUAGAUGAAGUAGGCGGAAUUUGUGGUGUAGCGGUGAAAUGCAUAGAUAUCACGAGGAACUCCGAUUGCGCAGGCAGCUUACUAAACUACUACUGACGCUCAGGCACGAAGGCGUGGGGAUCAAACAGGAUUAGAUACCCUGGUAGU
Molecule: ribosomal RNA, 271 nt
Filed under: uncultured prokaryote
Description: partial 16S ribosomal RNA
Rfam family: Bacterial small subunit ribosomal RNA
Source: RNAcentral